Molecule: ribosomal RNA, 347 nt
Filed under: uncultured bacterium
Lineage: Bacteria
Description: bacterial SSU rRNA
Rfam family: Bacterial small subunit ribosomal RNA
Source: RNAcentral
AUUGAACGCUGGCGGCAUGCCUUACACAUGCAAGUCGAACGGCAGCACGGGGGCAACCCUGGUGGCGAGUGGCGAACGGGUGAGUAAUGCAUCGGAACGUGCCCAGUAGUGGGGGAUAACUAGUCGAAAGAUUAGCUAAUACCGCAUACGACCUACGGGUGAAAGCGGGGAUGCAGCACUUAAUGUUUUGGGAUGGCUACUUGUGGCCGCCUCGGGACAGUCUCAGGUUGAGAACAUUAAGUGCUGCACCUCGCGCUAUUGGAGCGGCCGAUGUCUGAUUAGCUAGUUGGCGGGGUAAAAGCCCACCAAGGCGACGAUCAGUAGCUGGUCUGAGAGGACGACCAGCC